CCUACGGGAGGCAGCAGUGAGGAAUAUUGGUCAAUGGACGCGAGUCUGAACCAGCCAAGUAGCGUGAAGGAUGACUGCUCUAUGGGUUGUAAACUUCUUUUAUAAAAGAAUAAACGCAGGUACGUGUGUCUGUCUGAAUGUAUCUUACGAAUAAGGAUCGGCUAACUCCGUGCCAGCAGCCGCGGUAAUACGGAGGAUUCGAGCGUUAUCCGGAUUUAUUGGGUUUAAAGGGUGCGUAGGCGGGUGGAUAAGUUAGAUGUGAAAGUCCGAGGCUCAACUGUGGAAUUGCAUUUGAUACUGGUCGGCUAGAGUGCAGUUGCGGUAGGCGGAAUGUAUGGUGUAGCGGUGAAAUGCUUAGAGAUCAUAAAGAACACCGAUUGCGAAGGCAGCUUACCAAGCUACCUCUGACGUUGAUGCACGAAAGUGUGGGGAGCAAACAGGAUUAGAUACCCGGGUAGUC
This 460-nucleotide ribosomal RNA is filed under the name uncultured bacterium. Its description in RNAcentral is "partial 16S ribosomal RNA". It matches the Rfam family "Bacterial small subunit ribosomal RNA", at positions 338 to 795 of the family's 1533-position model. The record is from RNAcentral.